Molecule: RNA transcript, 1554 nt
Organism: Syngnathus acus (greater pipefish)
Lineage: Eukaryota; Metazoa; Chordata; Actinopteri; Syngnathiformes; Syngnathidae
Gene: dnajb2
Gene name: DnaJ heat shock protein family (Hsp40) member B2
Exons: 11
Source: RefSeq, a predicted model, not a curated record
GGGGCGUGUCAAAUGACGUCUUUAAACUCCAGCAUGUUCUCGGCGCUCUAUUUCUUCUCUCAGCUGAUUAUGACGUAAUAUGCAACAACAACGAGUCGAACUGGGCUGGAGAACCGCAGGUUUUGUUACCCGUGGAGUGGAGCCCAGAGGCGACAGCUCUCUGCUGCGGCGAGACACACCGGCAAGAAGAGACUGUUGUAGAAACACGGCGAUCGCUGUCAACAACCGCCUCAUCUUCUGUCAAACUCACAAGGAGAGUGUUGGAGAGUGGUGACAGGAGGCGUCAUGGUGGAUUACUACAACAUUUUGGGAGUAUCCAAAACAGCCUCUCAGGAUGAUAUCAAGAAGGCCUACAGGAAACUGGCACUUAAAUGGCAUCCUGACAAAAAUCCAGACAAUAAAGAGGAAGCAGAAAAGAAGUUUAAAGAACUCGCCGAGGCAUAUGAAGUUCUCUCUGACCAGAAUAAACGCGGUGCUUACGACAGAUAUGGAAGUGAAGGAUUGAGACACUCAGGCUUUUCCUCAAACUUCUCUCCAGAUUUCCCAGGAUUCGCCUUCACAUUCCGCAGUCCAGAGGAGGUUUUCAAGGAGUUUUUUGGUGGCCAGGAUCCUUUCGCCAGCUUCUUUGAUGACUUAUCAUUCGGGGGUUCGACCUCUCGCCUGGGACCGAACCGUUUUUUCUCGUUCCCUUCAGCUGGAGGUGAAUUUGCAUCUUUUCCAUCCAUGGGUGGUUUUCAUGACCUGGGAGGUAUGGGAGGUGGCAAUUUCAAAUCGGUGUCUACUUCCACCCGCAUCAUAAAUGGCAAGCGCACAACCACCAAGAAGAUUAAAGAGAAUGGCCAAGAAAGAACAGAGAUCGAAGAAGAUGGCGUGUUAAAGACUGUGCUGAUUAAUGGCGUGCAGGAUGAAAUGGCUCUGGCACUGGAGCUGAGUCGACGAGAGGGACAGCCUCACCAACCGAAUCCCUCAAUCGAAAACCGGUUACGUCACGAAACUGGCAGAACUCGGCCCAGCCCGUUUUCGGCAGUCACGCACCGUUCGUUCAGUGCCGCCCCUUUCUACCGUUACGGAGGAGUCGGUGCGAGCGAGCAAGAGGAGGACGAUGAAGAACUCCAGAUGGCGUUGGCGUUCAGCUUGUCAGAAAUGGAAGCCCAGCAGAAAGCAGCUGCUCCCGACGUCAUAUCAGACUCAGACUUUAAGGCCUUCACCAGCUAACCCGAUUGCCUCAAGCUACGCUGUGACCACGCCCCUCAUCUACUGGUAAAAUUUUACAAUGUCUCAUGAUGCAUUUGUCUCCCCUUGCCCAACGAGACUUCUACACGAUGAAUGACUCUUACAUUAAGGUUUGCUUUGUGUGUAUGACUGUGAAUGAGCAUAGCUACUCCACACUGGCCGGAAAAAACUGGAAAAUUAAUAAUCUCUGGAUUAAUCAAUUUUGUUCAUGCUACGUUGUCAAUACUGGACAAUAAUGUACAGGAUAAAAGAUGGAAGAACAAUUAACGUAACCAUUUAAAAUCUUUUAACAAAGCAAGGAAAUAAAGUGUUUCCUUCUGA